Molecule: unclassified non-coding RNA, 226 nt
Filed under: uncultured Actinomycetes bacterium
Lineage: Bacteria; Bacillati; Actinomycetota; Actinomycetes
Description: uncultured actinobacterium contains 16S-23S intergenic spacer region
Rfam family: Bacterial small subunit ribosomal RNA
Source: RNAcentral
AAGGCUUGACAUACAUCGGAAAGCAUCAGAGAUGGUGCCCCCCCUUGUGGUCGGUGUACAGGUGGUGCAUGGCUGUCGUCAGCUCGUGUCGUGAGAUGUUGGGUUAAGUCCCGCAACGAGCGCAACCCUUAUUCUGUGUUGCCAGCAACCUCUUCGGAGGGUUGGGGACUCACAGGAGACUGCCGGGGUCAACUCGGAGGAAGGUGGGGAUGACGUCUGGAAUGUC